GACGAACGCUGGCGGCGUGCUUAACACAUGCAAGUCGAACGCUGAAGCUCAGCUUUUGUUGGGUGGAUGAGUGGCGAACGGGUGAGUAACACGUGAGUAACCUGCCCCCUUCUUUGGGAUAACGCCCGGAAACGGGUGCUAAUACUGGAUAUUCACUGGUCUUCGCAUGGGGGUUGGUGGAAAGGGUUUUUCUGGUGGGGGGUGGGCUCGCGGCCUAUCAGCUUGUUGGUGGGGUGAUGGCCUACCAAGGCUUUGACGGGUAGCCGGCCUGAGAGGGUGACCGGUCACAUUGGGACUGAGAUACGGCCCAGACUCCUACGGGAGGCAGCAGUGGGGAAUAUUGCACAAUGGGCGCGAGCCUGAUGCAGCGACGCCGCGUGAGGGAUGGAGGCCUUCGGGUUGUGAACCUCUUUCGCUCAUGGUCAAGCCGCAACAAUGGUUGUGGUGAGGGUAGUGGGUAAAGAAGCGCCGGCUAACUACGUG
RNAcentral lists this ribosomal RNA (483 nucleotides) under uncultured bacterium. RNAcentral describes it as "partial 16S ribosomal RNA". It matches the Rfam family "Bacterial small subunit ribosomal RNA", at positions 28 to 507 of the family's 1533-position model. The record is from RNAcentral.